Neoarius graeffei (lesser salmon catfish) is the source of this 2970-nucleotide long non-coding RNA. RefSeq lists it as uncharacterized. The transcript is spliced from 3 exons. The record is from RefSeq and is a predicted model, not a curated record. NCBI's taxonomy places the organism in Eukaryota, Metazoa, Chordata, Actinopteri, Siluriformes, Ariidae.
UAUAGCAUCUUUAAAUGUUAAAAUCUCAACAGCUUCAGGGGGCUUUGCUCCCCUGUACCCCCAGCAGGUGCACUGCCCCUGCACCCCGCAAAGGGCUUGCAGCCCCCUUGACCCAUGCUGAUAGUUUCUUACAUUCCUCUAUUUUUUUCAAUUACUGCUGGGAUCCCUGGCUUAACCUCUGCCUACUACUCUCUCUUACUUGCCCCUUUCUCAGAAAUAUAUUGAGAGGGCUGUGUGUGUGUGGACAGAAAACUGUUGGCCAGUGAGUCAUCCAUUAUACAUUCUAAGAGAGAAGCCACAGUCUGGUUAACAUCUGUCUGACAGCUGCAUUUGGCCCUGGGACUAAAUCCCUGCUCUCGGGUCAUGGGUUCAAUCCUGAUCUCUAGUGACUCUGUGGACUUCCUGUGCAUGUUCACGUUGUCUUCAUUUAGAGUGAUUUUGAAAAAAAGUCAACAGCGUGGCAGGACGGUGCCAAAGGAGCAGACGGGUGCCAAAGGAACGCAAGGUUUGCCAGAAGUUAAGCAAAGCCAAAUGCCAGACAUUUUAGCCAAUUUAGAAAUACUGGACACCGGCCCGAAAAGGAGGACAUGUCCAGGAAAAAGAGGACAUACACUACCGUUCAAAAGUUUGGGGUCACCCAGACAAUUUUGUGUUUUCCAUGAAAAGUCACACUUUUAUUUACCACCAUAAGUUGUAAAAUGAAUAGAAAAUAUAGUCAAGACAUUUUUCUGGCCAUUUUGAGCAUUUAAUCGACCCCACAAAUGUGAUGCUCCAGAAACUCAAUCUGCUCAAAGGAAGGUCAGUUUUAUAGCUUCUCUAAAGAGCUAAACUGUUUUCAGCUGUGCUAACAUGAUUGUACAAGGGUUUUCUAAUCAUCCAUUAGCCUUCUGAGGCAAUGAGCAAACACAUUGUACCAUUAGAACACUGGAGUGAGAGUUGCUGGAAAUGGGCCUCUAUACACCUAUGGAGAUAUUGCACCAAAAACCAGACAUUUGCAGCUAGAAUAGUCAUUUACCACAUUAGCAAUGUAUAGAGUGGAUUUCUGAUUAGUUUAAAGUGAUCUUCAUUGAAAAGAACAGUGCUUUUCUUUCAAAAAUAAGGACAUUUCAAAGUGACCCCAAACUUUUGAACGGUAGUGUAUGAUCAUCCUAACUCAUGUCUGCAUUGGUUUCCAUCAGGUUCCCUACCAAAACAGUAGUAGGUGGACUGGCUACACUAACCCUGGCUUCCCUUCUAAGGUGCGUUCUCACCUCAUACCCAGUGUUCCCAGGAUAGGCUUUGACCCAGACACCAUGACUCUGAUCAGUAGUACAAGCGAAUACACCAGCGGACUGCUAGGCGAGACGCGCGACAGGCAGAAGUCAACGUCCCCUCACGGACCAUCUCAAAGAAUAAAAGGUUCUGCCUCCGCCUAAAGGCUGUGCACCAGAGGCAGAUGGAGAGAAAAAGAGGAUUAUUGGAAUAAGGAAUGAAGAGAAGGAAGAGAGGAUAGUGAGUGUCAGCCUGCAGCGCUGCAGCAAGCGAUGCACUUGUCUCCUCAAUCUUCUGAUGCACCGCAUCCACACUCGCCACCCCAGCGACCUCUGACGUCUGUGGAGCCCCACCGCCAGCGUCCAUCGACACCCCUCCGAUGGAGGAGCGAGGUGGUUUAAUGGGUGGAGUGAUGGGUGUCUGUGGAGUCUGUGGACUUUGAGCUGGCGACGUUGGAGUUUUUGCUGCGCUAGGGGGAGUGACAGGGGGUGUUGCGAUCGUUAUGGUGACCGUCUGAUUGGCAGAUGACACCAGUGAAGUCACAGCAACUUUCUGAAUUAUAUUUUUAUUCGGUUUGGGAGCUGUGGGUGGAGGAGUGGGUUUCGGAGAAACUGGAGGAGGAAUUUUCUUCCCUUCAACUGCAGCAAACAUACACAGAAGAAGAUUAAAGCAAUAGUUUAACCAAAAUGAGGAAUGCACAAAGUUCCCAUUACCUCAGACAGAGCCAAUCAGCCAACUCAAGAAUUUAUUUGAAAGCUACAAGGUUAGUUUGUUCGCUUUGUAAUUCCAGUGCAAGAUCACGUAUUGGCUGAUCAGCGAGAUAUGGGGUAAGAGGAACGUUGUGUGUAUUUCAUUUUUUGUUAAACUGCUCCUACAAAAAGACCUUUUAACUCCUAGAUUUAUUGUAGGAGAGUAGAAUGGAUGGAAACAUGGAUGUACUGAAAUAGAACAUUGAAAACAAUCAAUGACGAUCAAUUUGCAAAACAAGGUUCUGAGAAGAGAUCAAAUGAGCUACUGAAUCGAAUAAGACAUCAACUACAGAAGCCAUGUAAAACAGUGAGAAUGUGGAAAUAAUGUGGAGAAAGCAGAAUGGCUGAGAAACAGAACAAACAAUGAAAUUUCACUGAGGGUAUCUGGCCACUAGAGCUCCAAAUAUAGCCACACAUUCGAGAAUAGAAGGUACUUUCUGGAAAGUCAUACUGUCAUUACAGGAGCAGAAAUGAAAAUAUCUUCUCACUGGCCACUAGUAGAGGUUACUUGACCACAGGCAGCUUUAGAAGUAUAGACCCUUUUCAGUCACGUGACCUUCGUGAACGCGACCACCAUUUUGGACAUGUAGCGGACUUCGCCUCGAAUUGGUUUGAAUGCGAGGAAGGCGACAAACGGAGAACAUACAAGAAAAAGGAGCGAGAUGCAGAAAACAACUUCGCUAUCCAGCGACGUAGGGCAUUUACAGGGCGAGCAGAGGGAGAGGUAUUUUCAAAAAUUGAGGUUAGCAGGCUUAGAGAGCGACGUUUAUCUGCUUCCGCCUGGAUUGUUUACAGACGUACGGAAGUACACGAAGCCCUCGUCUUUACCUGACUUCGGCCCACAUGAUCUGUAUACCUAUGUCGUUAAAAACCCAUCGCCAUACACAGGUAUUGAUCUGAAAACUCUUGUUUUGAACACUUAUUUGUAGGCAGUGCUUAAUUUGUAAAGUGGGAGGUCCCGGAGCACAGA